This 257-nucleotide unclassified non-coding RNA is filed under the name Gloeophyllum sepiarium. RNAcentral's name for it is "partial internal transcribed spacer region". The stretch from base 1 to 46 matches the Rfam family "Eukaryotic small subunit ribosomal RNA", at positions 1786 to 1831 of the family's 1831-position model. RNAcentral also lists the same sequence under 1 other name. Lineage: Eukaryota; Fungi; Basidiomycota; Agaricomycetes; Gloeophyllales; Gloeophyllaceae. The record is from RNAcentral.
AAGUCGUAACAAGGUUUCCGUAGGUGAACCUGCGGAAGGAUCAUUAACGAGUAAACAGGGGAGUUGUAGCUGGCCGCAAGGCAUGUGCACGCUCUCUACUCAAUCCAACCUUACACCUGUGCACCUAUUGUAGGUCGAGUGGCUGGACUUGUUCUGGUCGCUCUUCCUAUGUUUUACACAUACACUUGUAGUCUCAGAAUGUAAUCCGCGUAUAACGCAUUAUAAAACAACUUUCAACAACGGAUCUCUUGGCUCUC